Molecule: RNase P RNA, 393 nt
Filed under: Saccharopolyspora flava
Lineage: Bacteria; Bacillati; Actinomycetota; Actinomycetes; Pseudonocardiales; Pseudonocardiaceae
Description: Bacterial RNase P class A
Rfam family: Bacterial RNase P class A
About the family: Ribonuclease P (RNase P) is a ubiquitous endoribonuclease, found in archaea, bacteria and eukarya as well as chloroplasts and mitochondria.
Source: RNAcentral
AGAGCCGGUCGAGUGACCGCGGCGGGCACGACCCGUCGAGGAAAGUCCGGACUCCACAGAGCAGGGUGGUUGCCAACGGCAACCCGGGGCGACCCGCGGGACAGUGCCACAGAAAGCAAACCGCCCGGCGCACGCGCCGGGUAAGGGUGAAACGGUGGUGUAAGAGACCACCAGCACCUCGGGUGACCGAGGUGGCUCGGUAAACCCCACCCGGAGCAAGGCCAAGAUGGGCGUCUCGGCGCCCGCGCGGACGAUCGAGGGUUGCUCGCCCGAGGUUCGCGGGUAGGCCGCAUGAGCUCGUCGGCGACGGCGGGCCUAGAUAGAUGGUCACUGAACGGGGUUGGUCGUGAGGCCUCCCGGGAACAGAAUCCGGCUUACAGACCGACUCUUCCG